UGGGGAAUAUUGGACAAUGGGGGCAACCCUGAUCCAGCGAUGCCGCGUGUGCGAAGAAGGCCUGCGGGUUGUAAAGCACUUUAGUUGGGGAAGAAGAGGGUUGACUCGAAUAGGGUUGAUCAGUGACGUUACCCAAAGAAUAAGCACCGGCUAACUAUGUGCCAGCAGCCGCGGUAAUACAUAGGGUGCAAGCGUUGUCCGGAAUUAUUGGGCGUAAAGAGCUCGUAGGUGGUUCGUCGCGUCGGAUGUGAAAAUCUGGGGCUUAACCCCAGACCCGCAUUCGAUACGGGCGAGCUAGAGUGUGGUAGGGGAGACUGGAAUUCCUGGUGUAGCGGUGGAAUGCGCAGAUAUCAGGAGGAACACCAAUGGCGAAGGCAGGUCUCUGGGCCAUUACUGACACUGAGGAGCGAAAGCGUGGGGAGCGAACAGG
RNAcentral lists this ribosomal RNA (430 nucleotides) under uncultured bacterium. Its description in RNAcentral is "bacterial SSU rRNA". It matches the Rfam family "Bacterial small subunit ribosomal RNA", at positions 355 to 776 of the family's 1533-position model. The record is from RNAcentral.